UACAGAGGUCCCAAGCGUUGUUCGGAUUCACUGGGCGUAAAGGGUGCGUAGGCGGUCGGGUACGUCUGCUGUGAAAUCUCACAGCUUAACUGUGAAACUGCAUUGGAUACUAUCCGGCUCGAGGAAUGGAGGGGAGACUGGAAUACUUGGUGUAGCAGUGAAAUGCGUAGAUAUCAAGUGGAACACCAGUGGCGAAGGCGGCCUUCUGGACAGUGACUGACGCUGAGACGCGAAAGCGUGGGGAGCAAACAGG
This 253-nucleotide ribosomal RNA is filed under the name uncultured bacterium. RNAcentral describes it as "partial 16S ribosomal RNA". It matches the Rfam family "Bacterial small subunit ribosomal RNA", at positions 524 to 776 of the family's 1533-position model. The record is from RNAcentral.